GAGCAGGUGCUGGUGGCCCGCAGGGUGGGGAUCCCCACGGCGCGCGGCGUCCCCCGGACGGCCGCAGCAUCGGAGACGUGUGCGCGGGCGCGGCCACGAGUGCGGCCAGGCCGCGGUUCAGUUCCUGCUCAAGGUUUGCAGACUCUGAAGGUGACUGUGGACGUGUACGGGAAGCGAAAGUGGGCGGCCGGCGGUGGAGGCCCUGGCGACCUCUUUAACUAAUGUGCCGUAGUAUUUUUUUUAGAUAGUUGAAUGUUGAAUCUCUCAUGUUGUAUCUGUUGAAUCUCUCCUGUAAUUUUGGGUCUUUGUGAUUUUGGCUUGAAUGUUGUAAACUUGUAAUCUAAGUGAAGCUUUUCUGGCUCCUCACC
This is a long non-coding RNA of Panicum virgatum (switchgrass), 368 nucleotides long. RefSeq lists it as uncharacterized. The record is from RefSeq and is a predicted model, not a curated record. Lineage: Eukaryota; Viridiplantae; Streptophyta; Magnoliopsida; Poales; Poaceae. The transcript is spliced from 2 exons.